Long non-coding RNA from Symphalangus syndactylus (siamang), 287 nucleotides. RefSeq lists it as uncharacterized. The record is from RefSeq and is a predicted model, not a curated record. Lineage: Eukaryota; Metazoa; Chordata; Mammalia; Primates; Hylobatidae.
GGCCCCCGAUCUGAGUGAGGUUGCAGUUUCUCUGCGUCACAUACUCAAUGCUGGUGGACUCCAUCAGCAGCGCGUAGUCUGUGGUGGGGGAGUCAAGAUUGAUGAUCUCGAGGCUUCACUUGUGUAGCUGAGAAGAGCCCAGUUCACUCACUAUUGGACAGCAUUCGCACGGAGACAGCUAUUGCAAGGAGACCUUGAUCGACUGAUGUAAGACACUGGUGCAAGGUGAAUCCUGAUUUACGACAACCGUUAAAAAUUAACCAAAGACGGGGUGGAGCCAAGAUGGC